This 252-nucleotide ribosomal RNA is filed under the name uncultured microorganism. RNAcentral describes it as "partial 16S ribosomal RNA". It matches the Rfam family "Bacterial small subunit ribosomal RNA", at positions 524 to 776 of the family's 1533-position model. The record is from RNAcentral.
UACGUAGGGUGCGAGCGUUAAUCGGAUUUACUGGGCGUAAAGCGAGCGCAGGUGGUUUAAUAAGUCUGAUGUAAAAGGCAGUGGCUCAACCAUUGUGUGCAUUGGAAACUGUUAGACUUGAGUGCAGUAGAGGAGAGUGGAAUUCCAUGUGUAGCGGUGAAAUGCGUAGAUAUAUGGAGGAACACCGGUGGCGAAAGCGGCUCUCUGGACUGUCACUGACACUGAGGCUCGAAAGCGUGGGUAGCAAACAGG